Molecule: ribosomal RNA, 382 nt
Filed under: Shigella flexneri
Lineage: Bacteria; Pseudomonadati; Pseudomonadota; Gammaproteobacteria; Enterobacterales; Enterobacteriaceae
Description: bacterial SSU rRNA
Rfam family: Bacterial small subunit ribosomal RNA
Source: RNAcentral
GCUGCAUGGCUGUCGUCAGCUCGUGUUGUGAAAUGUUGGGUUAAGUCCCGCAACGAGCGCAACCCUUAUCCUUUGUUGCCAGCGGUCCGGCCGGGAACUCAAAGGAGACUGCCAGUGAUAAACUGGAGGAAGGUGGGGAUGACGUCAAGUCAUCAUGGCCCUUACGACCAGGGCUACACACGUGCUACAAUGGCGCAUACAAAGAGAAGCGACCUCGCGAGAGCAAGCGGACCUCAUAAAGUGCGUCGUAGUCCGGAUUGGAGUCUGCAACUCGACUCCAUGAAGUCGGAAUCGCUAGUAAUCGUGGAUCAGAAUGCCACGGUGAAUACGUUCCCGGGCCUUGUACACACCGCCCGUCACACCAUGGGAGUGGGUUGCAAAA